AAUUAUAAUCAGAAAAUUUAAAACUUCUCUGAAGUAUAAAGACUUUUUGUGUUAAACAUUUUGACAAAAAUGUGACAAAAAUGUUUCUGCCACAAAAUUAUUGAUAGAGAAAAUAUUGAAAUAAAUGCAGCAGUGAUUUAAAAAGACUUAAAUAACCUGAUGCUUAUGUACCUGUGAUCAUCAUGUGAAAGUCAGGUUUGGUGUAUUGUGUAAUUCUGUGAUUACCACAUUUCUGGCAUCGUGACAGCCCUGCUCUCUCCACCUGCACAGAGAGUGAGACACCUGAUGGUAUGCUGAGUGUAAUCAAUGAGAGAACAGAGUCCAAAAUUUACACAAACGAAAGAAAUAUAUAGUCAGAAUCAAAAUCACUGAUUUCCAUUUCACUCUUUGAGGUCACAAAGAUGCUCUGAGAUCUUCUUCCACAGCCUAACACAACCAUUCCUUUCCCCAGGCCAUCACUGACCACCACGAAACUGGUCAUGUUUGUGCCUCCAGACUCCUUCAUGUCUGUCACGUUUCCUCAGUAUAGACCUGAGUACCCUCAGAAACAUGCCUCAGUAGCUUCAGUAGGUGGAGGUCACUUUGUAGGGCUCUGGCAACGCUCCUCCUCUUCCUCCCUGCAGAAAACCUGUGGAGCUUGAAUCUGCUGCAGAUACUGUCUCAUGCCAUCAGCAGAGAAGAGGACAAUAACAAAAAGUAAACCAGAGAAAAGUCAGGAGGAGGGAUAAGAGCAGAGUGUUACCACUAUGGGGCUUUGCCUUGCUCUUGUCUUCUCAGGAUACAUGUUGUUGCCCUAAUUUGCACCAAUGCAGCUGAAAUGGAUUCAUAGUGGUUUAUGUCUCUGAACUGAUGCUUGCCUCAGUGUCCUGACACAUGCUCAGUCACAGAGGGAAGGAAAGCCCGGAAAGUUGAUUCUUUGCACGUUGAUGUUGCAUUUUCAGUCUCUAAGGCUGAAGAAGUCACAUAGGUAAGUUAAAUGUUUCUCCCACUGAAAACACAACAUACAGAAUAGAAGUUAGAACAGAAUCAACUCUCUGGCUCCUCCCUUAAUGUUCUGAGCAGCCUGUGUGCAGAGAUGUGGUAAGUUUGAUUGCUGAUGUCUGUGUACCUCUCUUCUGUAUGUGUUUGCUGUCUCAGGUGUUUGUCUUUGACUUUGACAUAUUGGGACGUGGCCAGCAGGGGACUGAGCAGAAACAGUUUGUAACAUGGUGUGUAAUAUUCACCUGGCAGGGUCCCCUCGCCCCCGAGGGGGGCUGCUGGUCCUGUUUUCACUCAGCUGCAUGCUGUUCUCGUCUCUGGCAGAGAACACCACAGAUCCGCUGCAGUUCGCAUACAGAUCCAACAGAUCCACAGAGGAUGCCAUCGCCCACGUCCUACACACCACUCUCAGCCACGUGGACAAGAAACAGGGUAACUAUGUGCGAAUGCUGUUUGUUGAUUACAGUUCAGCGUUUAACACAAUAGUGCCCUGCAGACUGUUCACAAAGCUGAGGGAUCUGGGACUUAACAGCCG
Molecule: long non-coding RNA, 1513 nt
Organism: Astatotilapia calliptera (eastern happy)
Lineage: Eukaryota; Metazoa; Chordata; Actinopteri; Cichliformes; Cichlidae
Source: Ensembl